Non-coding RNA from Punica granatum (pomegranate), 1787 nucleotides. Lineage: Eukaryota; Viridiplantae; Streptophyta; Magnoliopsida; Myrtales; Lythraceae. The record is from RefSeq and is a predicted model, not a curated record.
UGGAGGCAUGGGCUCCACGUGGCCUCCAAAACUUUUCCCCUGAGUUCCCACCGCCUCAUUCAUUCCAUUUCUUUUGUUCUUUCUUUUUCUUCCUGUGUCUGGUUUAACUGAGAAAAAUCGAGAGAGAGAGAGAGAGAGAGAGAGAGAGAGAGAGAGAGAGAGAGAGCUAGAGAACGAUAUAGAGGCAGAGAACGAGACAGAGAGCAAGACGGAGAGCAAUUGUGCAGUGGAGAACUUGGCUGGAAAUUCACGGAGGGGACUAAGGACUCGGCUUGGAGAACAUUGGUUUUGAGUUGGAUUGAGGAUGAACGGUUCUUUGAAGGAUUAGGCUAUAUUCAUGAUUGAUAGGAGCUGAGGACAUCUAUUGUGCAUCCUGAAAAUCAAGUUGGUGAAUCAUUUUUUGUGUUAGGGCUAUAUUCAUGAUUGAUAGGAGCUGAGGACAUUUACUGUGCACCCUGAAGGUCAAGUUGGUGAAUCAUUUUUUGUGUUAGGUGAGUACCAUAUUCCCUUGUGAAAUGAUGUAUUAUAAUUAUACAAAUUAUUUAAGAAGAAUACUGUAAUAGUUAGAGAUUUAGAAAUCGUUAUGCUAUAACAUGUGAAAGGAUUUAUGAGAUAUUGCCCUCUUAUGUUUCAUUUUGACUUGAGAUAUGUGAUGUGAUUGUGUAUGUGGAUUGUGUAUGAGAGAUGUGAUGAUAAUAUGAUACAAUUGUAAUAGGAUUGAGAUUGUGCUUGUGUAUAUUGAUAUUGUUUAAUUGUUAUAGCCUUGGGACUGUUAAACCCGGCGAAAUAGGAAUGGGGUGUGGUUGACCGCUGAUCCGAUAGUAUAUAAAAUGAACGCCUAGACUGUUGAACCGGCGGGAUAUAAAAUUGACUUCUAGACUGCUGAUCCGGUGGGAUAUAAAAUGGACGCCUAGACCGCUGAUCCUGCGGGAUAUAAAAUGGACGGUCUAAAAUGGAAGCCUAGAUCGCUGAUUCGGUGGGAUAUAAAAUGAAAGUUAGGUUGGAGCUUUGAUAAUUGGGGCUGGGGGGGCACAAUUAUGAGAAGUGGUAAGGUGAGUAAAGGACAUUUAAGCUGAAGUGCGGGGUCACUGUAUCAAUUAUAACACGAUUGCGAAGAAAUGCGCCCCUAUGACUAUAUUGAUUGGUUGUGCUGUAUAUUGUUGUCUAGCCUGAUUGCUAUAAAUGUGAUGAUUGUUGAGGUUGUCUGAAGUUGUUCUAUGAAAACUGUGCUGUUUACUAGAGCUUGAUUUAGUCAGUGCAUGAAUGUUAGGUGGUAUUGAGUUAAUGAUUAAUUCGACUAUUAUUAUAUGGUGAUAAAGGUGACUGAUUGUUUAAGAAUCAAUUUAGUAAUUAUUUGUGUAUAAUGUAUGUCGUGCUGUGUUGGUGAAUUAAAUGGCAGUCUUGGGUAUGCUAAUAUUAUCUUUGUACAUUUAAAAAUAUAUUUUUAGUUAAUAAUAGUUCAUUUCACUUUGAAAUUUUGUGUUCAUUGAGAUGCAGCUCACACUCUGCAUAUAUUUUUUCAAGAUAACCUUCUAGCUACACAGGAGAACUUUUUGGAUAUCGGGGAUAAGCUCUAAGGACUAUGUAGGAAUCUUAAUUAUUUGAUAGGUACUCUUUUUGUAUAGAAUGUAUUUGAAUAUGUUACGACCCGAAAUUUUUGUUUAGUUGGUUUAGUGAUGUGGCUCUCUUAAGAUGUAUAUAUAUGUGUGUGUGUGUGUGUAUGAGAGAGAGUUUGCUGGAUUGUUUAUAUGUUGUUGCGAGUUAUGGAAAACAGAUGUUUAUAUGAA